GCGCCGCCAGGGCGGGUUUUCUUUAGUCUGAUGUGAAAAGCCCCACGGGCUCAACCCGUGGAGGGUUCAUUGGAAAACUGGGGGAACUUGAGUGCAGAAGAGAAAAGCGGAAUUUCCACGUGUAGCGGUGAAAAUGCGUAGAGAUGUGGAGAGAACACCAGUGGCGAAGGCGGCUUUUUGGGUCUGUAUACUGACGCUGAGGCGCGAAAGCGUGGGGAGCAAACAGGAUUUAGAUACCCUGGUAGUCCACGCCGUAAACGAUGAGUGCUAAGUGUUAGAGGGUUUCCGCCCUUUUAGUGCUGCAGCUAACGCAUUAAGCACUCCGCCUGGGGAGUACGGUCGCAAGACUGAAACUCAAAGGAAUUGACGGGGGCCCGCACAAGCGGUGGAGCAUGUGGUUUAAUUCGAAGCAACGCGAAGAACCUUACCAGGUCUUGACAUCCUCUGACAACUCUAGAGAUAGAGCGUUCCCCUUCGGGGGACAGAGUGACAGGUGGUGCAUGGUUGUCGUCAGCUCGUGUCGUGAGAUGUUGGGUUAAGUCCCGCAACGAGCGCAACCCUUGAUCUUAGUUGCCAGCAUUUAGUUGGGCACUCUAAGGUGACUGCCGGUGACAAACCGGAGGAAGGUGGGGAUGACGUCAAAUCAUCAUGCCCCUUAUGACCUGGGCUACACACGUGCUACAAUGGAUGGUACAAAGGGCUGCAAGACCGCGAGGUCAAGCCAAUCCCAUAAAACCAUUCUCAGUUCGGAUUGUAGGCUGCAACUCGCCUACAUGAAGCUGGAAUCGCUAGUAAUCGCGGAUCAGCAUUUCUCGGUGAAUACGUUCCCGGGCCUUGUACAC
RNAcentral lists this ribosomal RNA (842 nucleotides) under Metabacillus sp. RNAcentral describes it as "bacterial SSU rRNA". It matches the Rfam family "Bacterial small subunit ribosomal RNA", at positions 565 to 1388 of the family's 1533-position model. The record is from RNAcentral. Lineage: Bacteria; Bacillati; Bacillota; Bacilli; Caryophanales; Bacillaceae.